This is a non-coding RNA of Canis lupus familiaris (dog), 45 nucleotides long. The record is from Rfam. NCBI's taxonomy places the organism in Eukaryota, Metazoa, Chordata, Mammalia, Carnivora, Canidae.
CCAAAGGCUCUUUUCAGAGCCACACGGUUUCACCAGCAGAGCUGU